CCCAGUCGUUAGUCAUUCGUUUCUAAGAAAGAUUCACUCCAUGCGUGAGUAUGUAUAAAUAGUUUUCAAUGAAUGAAUGAAUGGCUCUGUCUGUCAGAGAUAGUUUGGUGGAGGAUGAUUAUUGGUUGGAUGUCCGUAUUAUUUGGAGAACUCAUGCGUGUAGUAACUGUGGGAUGUGUCUAUUAGAAUGAAAACCAUAUGGUUCGGCAUGUUAGUGAGUAAUAGUAACCUAUCGUAUCGCAUGCUUAAUGUAGCGUGAGUCUUUCAAGUUUCUGCCCUAUCAGCUUUCGAUGGUAGCAUAUGGGUCUACCAUGGCAGUCGCGGGUACGAAGAAAUUGGGUUCGAUUUUGGAGAGGGAGCCUGAGAGAUAGGGCUACCACAUCAAGGAAGGCAGCAGGCGCGUGAAUUACCCAAUCCUGACACAGGGAGGUAGUGACAAUAAAUCACAAUGCGGGACUWCUAGUUUUGCAAUUGGAUUGAGAACAACGUACAACUCUUAUCGAUAAGCCAUUGGAGGGCAAGUC
Molecule: ribosomal RNA, 524 nt
Filed under: Blastocystis sp.
Lineage: Eukaryota; Bigyra; Opalinata; Blastocystidae
Description: SSU rRNA
Rfam family: Eukaryotic small subunit ribosomal RNA
Source: RNAcentral